AUGCACAGCUCAUCUGACACGUAAGCUUCCUCUAUUUUGGUUAGUCAAUUUUCUGGCACAUGCAGCAGUUGUCUACCCAAAGUGGAUAAGCUCAGAUGUAACUGACUCCUCAUAAUAUCACGGGAGUAGAUAAAGGCUAGAAUAUCUCGUCCAUAAUAGCACGUCCAAUAAUCCGACAAUCUCAGAACUGUACAUUCCCAUAGUUGUUCAACUAUAUUCUCUAUAAAUAACUAAAGCCCCG
Molecule: long non-coding RNA, 241 nt
Filed under: Elaeis guineensis (African oil palm)
Lineage: Eukaryota; Viridiplantae; Streptophyta; Magnoliopsida; Arecales; Arecaceae
Description: long non-coding RNA (EGUI_LNC024537)
Source: RNAcentral